Molecule: long non-coding RNA, 320 nt
Organism: Gymnodraco acuticeps
Lineage: Eukaryota; Metazoa; Chordata; Actinopteri; Perciformes; Bathydraconidae
Exons: 3
Source: RefSeq, a predicted model, not a curated record
CGCUUUUUUCAUUUAUUGUCAUUUCCAUUCAAUCACAGCUGAGGCAUGAAUCCUUGAUUUCACUCGGUUUAAAAGCCCUGCCUCCAGCAUGCAGCUGGCACAUUUGAAAGACAUGGCGGCAGAAAAACUACACAAGUGGACGGAGGCCCAAACCAGAGCCCUCAUUCAACAGAGGACUGACAAUGAGCACCUGUUUACAGGAAAGAGCUUCACAGCCAAGAAGGCCUGGGGAGAGGUUCUGCAGAAGAUGGAGUUGGAGGAGUUGCUCACUCCCACCUAACUGGCAAAAAAGUGGGACAACCUGAAAAGAAAAUAUAAGG